Molecule: long non-coding RNA, 897 nt
Filed under: Sus scrofa (pig)
Lineage: Eukaryota; Metazoa; Chordata; Mammalia; Artiodactyla; Suidae
Description: lncRNA (ENSSSCG00055021200.1)
Source: RNAcentral
AGACGACCUCACUGGAUGUGCCCUCCUUUGUUCCCAUAACUGGCUGGCUACUGGAGAAGUGUCCCUCUUCCAACCAGGCCUAUGGUUUUUUUCAGGGCAUCAACAUCGUGUGCGGAGGGGAUGAGCAAGAAGACAAUGGAGCGUUCCCGCUGCUCGCUUGCUCUGCAGUGAGAUGCAGUGUGUUGUUCUGGGAGGACGGCAGUAAUGCAAAAACCAAUCCAGCACAUUCCAUGCAUGGGAAAGGCAUUGAAAAUACUUACAAUAGCGAAUUUUUCCUUUAAGCCUAAGCGUAAGUGACUUUUCUUUGGGCGACCGCUCCCAUUGGACGGCUUCAGGACCGCCUUCUGCAGUCAUUCAGGUGUGAAAUGUGCCUUUAAUAUGCCUUUCUUUCCCACUAUUAUGCAAAGUAGUUAUUUUCGGCUAAGAUCAAAUAUGAAAAACUACAAUGUAAGGAAAACUUGAAAAGUGUACGUAUAAAAGGAGUGCAUAUGCCUUAUUUUGUAAUGUUGAGCUCUAAGCUGAGUCAUUGAUCUAGAAGUUGGGGUACAAAGUUACGUUUAUUCAGACGAUUUGGCCAAGCCGGUUGGGGAGCAAAGUGCUGUCUGGGGCACAAUAAUAACAUUGGUGGAAGAGAGAUACCUGCUUCUGUCUCUCACUAUGCCCACAAUGGGUGAUGACACCAGGGAAGCUGCCCUCCUCUUAUGCUAACAGGCAAUGUUAGCAGAACAUGAAAACACACCAGAAGCGUCAAAGGGCCCGACCCCCGGAGACACAAAUCCUCUUUGUGUCCAGCUUAUCUCCAGCUGCUGCCAUGAUAAAUAGUCCAGCUCCAGGGAGCCUGGGGAAGCGCUACCCCACGGAACGAAGCACAGAGGGAAGCGAGCUUGAGGAAAUAUU